Molecule: ribosomal RNA, 622 nt
Filed under: Streptococcus mutans
Lineage: Bacteria; Bacillati; Bacillota; Bacilli; Lactobacillales; Streptococcaceae
Description: bacterial SSU rRNA
Rfam family: Bacterial small subunit ribosomal RNA
Source: RNAcentral
GCAAUGGACGAAAGUCUGACCGAGCAACGCCGCGUGAGUGAAGAAGGUUUUCGGAUCGUAAAGCUCUGUUGUAAGUCAAGAACGUGUGUGAGAGUGGAAAGUUCACACAGUGACGGUAGCUUACCAGAAAGGGACGGCUAACUACGUGCCAGCAGCCGCGGUAAUACGUAGGUCCCGAGCGUUGUCCGGAUUUAUUGGGCGUAAAGGGAGCGCAGGCGGUCAGGAAAGUCUGGAGUAAAAGGCUAUGGCUCAACCAUAGUGUGCUCUGGAAACUGUCUGACUUGAGUGCAGAAGGGGAGAGUGGAAUUCCAUGUGUAGCGGUGAAAUGCGUAGAUAUAUGGAGGAACACCAGUGGCGAAAGCGGCUCUCUGGUCUGUCACUGACGCUGAGGCUCGAAAGCGUGGGUAGCGAACAGGAUUAGAUACCCUGGUAGUCCACGCCGUAAACGAUGAGUGCUAGGUGUUAGGCCCUUUCCGGGGCUUAGUGCCGGAGCUAACGCAAUAAGCACUCCGCCUGGGGAGUACGAACGCAAGGUUGAAACUCAAAGGAAUUGACGGGGGCCCGCACAAGCGGUGGAGCAUGUGGUUUAAUUCGAAGCACGCGAAGAACUUACCAGGUCUGA